Molecule: ribosomal RNA, 949 nt
Filed under: Steinernema kushidai
Lineage: Eukaryota; Metazoa; Nematoda; Chromadorea; Rhabditida; Steinernematidae
Description: 16S ribosomal RNA
Source: RNAcentral
AAUCUUUUUUUUGUAUAUUAUUUAGUAUUGCAUACUAUUUAAGGAAAAUGUUAUUUUUAUAACAAAUAGAAACAAAAAGUAAAGGGGUAAUUUGUUUUAGUUGUUACAAAACUAAUAUUAUUUUAACUCCGGUUUUGAUACAACGGUUUUUGUGAUAUCUGUUUUUAUUUUUUAUUAUUAGAAAAUUAUAUUUUUUUAUCUAGUUUAAUGGAAACAUAAAAUUUGAAGUGUUUUAUUUCUAUGUUUUAUAACUUUUUCUUUUGCUUAUUCUUUUUUAUUUUUUUUUUAUUCAUUUUUGAAUAAAUUAAUAAUCUUAAAAUUAGUAGAUUUAGUAAAUUCUCUUUAAAAAUAAAAUUUUAAAAAGAGAACUUGAUUUCUCGAUCAAAUGUUUAUUAAAGACUUAGGCUUUUAUUUAAAGCUUGCUUCUGCCCUAUGUUUCAUAAAUGGCAGUCUUAGCGUGAGGACAUUAAGGUAGCAAAAUAAUUUGUGCCUUUAUUGGGUUCCAGUAUGAAUGAAGUUACUGGUUGGUUAUCUUCUUUUAUUUUUUCGAACUUAAUUUCUGUUUAACAAAAAACAGUUAUACUUAAACAAAGAUAAGUCUUCGGAAAUUCUUUUUAUGUUUUUUCUUUUGUUUAAACAUAAAAUUUUCUAGGGCAGAAAUUUAUAUAAUUAUUUUUACUAAUAAUAAAUUAAUGAAUUACUCCGGAGCUAACAGAAAAUCAUACCUUAUCCAGUUCUUAUGGUAUUGGUAAGUUUUACAUCGAUGUUGUAUUCCUACAAACUAAAAAAGGAGAUAGUUUAGUUAUUAAGACUGUUCUUCUUUUAAAUAGUAGGACUUGAUAUUAGUUUAAUUCAUUGCGAGAUAGAAUUGUUUAUCUUGUUAAGUAUUUAAUUUUAAUAUAUUUAGUACGAAAGGAAAUUUAUAAAAGUUUUAAACUUUUUAAAAGCU